Molecule: unclassified non-coding RNA, 262 nt
Filed under: plant metagenome
Description: partial contains small subunit ribosomal RNA, internal transcribed spacer 1, and 5.8S ribosomal RNA
Source: RNAcentral
UUUCCGUAGGUGAACCAGCGGAGGGAUCAUUACCGAGUUUACAACUCCCAAACCCCUAUGUGAACGUUACCAAACUGUUGCCUCGGCGGGAAAUUCAUGCCCCGGGCGCGUCGCAGCCCCGGACCAAGGCGCCCGCCGGAGGACCAACCAAAACUCUUUUGUAUGUCCCUCGCGGACUUUUAUAAUUCUGAACCAUAUCGGCGACCCUAGCGGGCGUUUCGAAAAUGAAUCAAAACUUUCAACAACGGAUCUCUUGGUUCUG